GGACGCUGGGAUCCCUUCGGGGUGAACUUGUCGCUGUCGAGUGGCGGACGGGUGAGUAAUGCGUAGGAAUUUGCCUCAAAGUGGGGGAUAGCCCGGAGAAAUCCGGAUUAAUACCGCAUGUGCUCUACGGACAAAAGGUGGCCUCUGAAUGAAAGCUAUCACUUUAUGAUGAACCUACGUCAGAUUAGCUAGUUGGUAGGGUAAAGGCCUACCAAGGCAACGAUCUGUAGCUGGUCUGAGAGGAUGAUCAGCCACACUGGGACUGAGACACGGCCCAGACUCCUACGGGAGGCAGCAGUGGGGAAUAUUGGACAAUGGGGGAAACCCUGAUCCAGCGAUGCCGCGUGUGUGAAGAAGGCCUGAGGGUUGUAAAGCACUUUAGUUAGGGAGGAUAAGGCUAAUGUGAAUAAUGUUAGCUGUAGACGUUACCUAAAGAAUAAGCACCGGCAAACUCUGUGCCAGCAGCCGCGGUAAUACAGAGGGUGCAAGCGUUAAUCGGAGUUACUGGGCGUAAAGAGCACGUAGGUGGUUAAUUAAGUCAGUUGUGAAAGCCCUGGGCUUAACCUGGGAACUGCAAUUGAUACUGGCUAACUAGAGUCGAAGAGAGGGAAGCGGAAUUUCCGGUGUAGCGGUGAAAUGCGUAGAUAUCGGAAGGAACAUCAGUGGCGAA
This 670-nucleotide ribosomal RNA is filed under the name uncultured bacterium. RNAcentral describes it as "bacterial SSU rRNA". It matches the Rfam family "Bacterial small subunit ribosomal RNA", at positions 64 to 719 of the family's 1533-position model. The record is from RNAcentral.